GAAAGGGCGCACGGUGGAUGCCUUGGCACUAGGAGCCGAUGAAGGACGGGGCAAACGCCGAAACGCUUCGGGGAGCUGUAAGCAAGCGUUGAUCCGGAGAUGUCCGAAUGGGGGAACCCACUGUCCGUAAUGGGGCAGUAUCCAUGCCUGAAUCCAUAGGGCAUGGAGGGCACACCCGGGGAACUGAAACAUCUUAGUACCCGGAGGAGAAGAAAGCAACCGCGAUUCCCUGAGUAGCGGCGAGCGAAACGGGAACAGCCCAAACCAAGAGGCAUGUCCUCUUGGGGUUGUAGGACCGCUCACGAUGGGAGUGAGAAAGGGACGGGGUAGACGAACCGGUCUGGAACGGCCGGCCAGAGAAGGUGAGAGCCCUGUAGUCGAAACUUCGUUCCCUCCCGAGCGGAUCCUGAGUACGGCGGGACACGAGGAAUCCCGUCGGAAGCAGGGAGGACCAUCUCCCAAGGCUAAAUACUCCCUAGUGACCGAUAGUGCACCAGUACCGUGAGGGAAAGGUGAAAAGCACCCCGGGAGGGGAGUGAAAGAGAACCUGAAACCGUGUGCCUACAAGUAGUCAGAGCCCGUUGAUGGGUGAUGGCGUGCCUUUUGUAGAAUGAACCGGCGAGUGACGAUGGCGUGCGAGGUUAAGCCGAAGAGGCGGAGCCGCAGCGAAAGCGAGUCUGAACAGGGCGUGUGAGUACGUCGUCGUCGACCCGAAACCAGGUGAUCUACCCAUGUCCAGGGUGAAGGCCGGGUAACACCGGCUGGAGGCCCGAACCCACGCACGUUGAAAAGUGCGGGGAUGAGGUGUGGGUAGGGGUGAAAUGCCAAUCGAACUUGGAGAUAGCUGGUUCUCCCCGAAAUAGCUUUAGGGCUAGCCUCGGGUUUAGGAGUCUUGGAGGUAGAGCACUGAUUGGGCUAGGGGCCCAAACCGGGUUACCGAACCCAGUCAAACUCCGAAUGCCAAUGACUUAUGCCCGGGAGUCAGACUGCGAGUGAUAAGAUCCGUGGUCGAGAGGGGAACAGCCCAGACCGCCAGCUAAGGCCCCGAAGUGCACGUUCAGUGGAAAAGGAUGUGGAGUUGCAAAGACAACCAGGAUGUUGGCUUAGAAGCAGCCACCAUUUAAAGAGUGCGUAAUAGCUCACUGGUCGAGUGACUCUGCGCCGAAAAUGUACCGGGGCUAAACGUGCCGCCGAAGCUGCGGGAUGACCGUUGGUCAUCGGUAGGGGAGCGUUCUAAGGGCAGAGAAGCCAGACCGGAAGGACUGGUGGAGCGCUUAGAAGUGAGAAUGCCGGUAUGAGUAGCGAAAACAGAGGUGAGAAUCCUCUGCGCCGAAAGCCUAAGGGUUCCUGAGGAAGGUUCGUCCGCUCAGGGUUAGUCGGGACCUAAGCCGAGGCCGAAAGGCGUAGGUGAUGGACAACAGGUUGAGAUUCCUGUACCACCUUCUUCCCGUUUGAGCGAUGGGGGGACGCAGGAGGAUAGGGCGAGCAGGCGG
Molecule: ribosomal RNA, 1493 nt
Filed under: Geobacillus sp. WSUCF1
Lineage: Bacteria; Bacillati; Bacillota; Bacilli; Caryophanales; Anoxybacillaceae
Description: bacterial LSU rRNA
Rfam family: Bacterial large subunit ribosomal RNA
Source: RNAcentral